UUCCAGACUCCUACGGGAGGCAGCAGUGGGGAAUAUUGCACAAUGGGGGGAACCCUGAUGCAGCAACGCCGCGUGGGUGAAGAAGUAUUUCGGUAUGUAAAGCCCUAUCAGCAGGGAAGAAGAUGACGGUACCUGACCAAGAAGCCCCGGCUAACUACGUGCCAGCAGCCGCGGUAAUACGUAGGGGGCAAGCGUUAUCCGGAUUUACUGGGUGUAAAGGGAGCGUAGACGGCGAAGAAAGUCUGAAGUGAAAGCCCGGGGCUCAACCGCGGGACUGCUUUUGAAACUGUUAAGCUUGAGUGCAGGAGAGGUAAGCGGAAUUCCUAGUGUAGCGGUGAAAUGCGUAGAUAUUAGGAGGAACACCAGUGGCGAAGGCGGCUUACUGGACUGUAACUGACACUGAGGCUCGAAAGCGUGGGGAGCAAACAGGAUUAGAUACCCUGGUA
RNAcentral lists this ribosomal RNA (446 nucleotides) under uncultured bacterium. RNAcentral's name for it is "bacterial SSU rRNA". It matches the Rfam family "Bacterial small subunit ribosomal RNA", at positions 329 to 792 of the family's 1533-position model. The record is from RNAcentral.